RNAcentral lists this ribosomal RNA (721 nucleotides) under uncultured bacterium. Its description in RNAcentral is "bacterial SSU rRNA". It matches the Rfam family "Bacterial small subunit ribosomal RNA", at positions 60 to 781 of the family's 1533-position model. The record is from RNAcentral.
AGUCGAACGGUAAAUAUUUAGCAAUAGCAUAUGAGAGUGACGUACGGGUGCGUAACACGUAUGCAACCUACCCUUUACAGGAGGAUAGCUCGGGGAAACUCGGAUUAACCCUCCAUAAUAUAACUGGAUGGCAUCAUUUGGUUAUUAAAUUUACGGAGGUAAAGGAUGGGCAUGCGUCUGAUUAGUUAGUUGGCGGUGUAACGGACCACCAAGACGAUGAUCAGUAGGGGAACUGAGAGGUUGAUCCCCCACACUGGCACUGAGAUACGGGCCAGACUCCUACGGGAGGCAGCAGUAGGGAAUAUUGGUCAAUGGAUGGAAGUCUGAACCAGCCAUGCCGCGUGCAGGAAGAAGGCCUUCUGGGUUGUAAACUGCUUUUGCCAGGGGCUAAAAAGCCCAUGCGUGGGAAAUUGAAAGUACCUGGUGAAUAAGCUACGGCUAACUACGUGCCAGCAGCCGCGGUAAUACGUAGGUGGCAAGCGUUGUCCGGAUUUAUUGGGUUUAAAGGGUGCGUAGGCGGCUUUGUAAGUCAGUGGUGAAAUACGGUAGCUCAACUAUCGAGGUGCCAUUGAUACUGCGGAGCUUGAGUACAGAUGAGGUAGGCGGAAUUGACGGUGUAGCGGUGAAAUGCUUAGAUAUCGUCAAGAACACCUAUAGCGAAGGCAGCUUACUANGCUGUAACUGACGCUGGNGCACGAAGUGUGGGAUCAAACANGAUUAG